Molecule: long non-coding RNA, 1653 nt
Organism: Balaenoptera acutorostrata (minke whale)
Lineage: Eukaryota; Metazoa; Chordata; Mammalia; Artiodactyla; Balaenopteridae
Exons: 3
Source: RefSeq, a predicted model, not a curated record
GCCUGCCGGUUGGAACGGUAGCCCCUCGGCGCGGAGGGCGAUGAGGCCGGCGCCGAAGUGAGCGCGGCACGGAGGGGUCUGCCUAACUGGGGCCCGUGGCCCUGCGUCUUCUGGCUGCGACGCGGGUUCUGCGCACGCUGUGGGUCGCAGCCGCCGGGCGGUGGGCGCCUGAGGGGCCGGGAGGCGAGCCGGGUCCCCAGGCGGGUGUGGGCAUCGUGUCCACAGCCAGCGUCCCCGAGGCCGCGCUCGGGCCAUGAUGACUCGGUGAAGCUGCGCGGCCACAGCGCGGCCGGCUUCUUACCGCGCUGUGAGGACCUGUGCGCGCUGCAAGACUCGCGCUCGAGGGAGUAAGAAGACAUGGAGUGAAGAGCUGCCUCAUUUUCCAGAGAGAAUAGGGGCACUGAGAGCUUGGAGGGACGGCGGUAGCUGUCACAGUGUUUUGUCCUGAAUUUUUACCUCCUGGAAUCCAGGAUGGGCCCCUUCCCCACCCCGCCAGCUGGAUGAGUGAUCACAGUGGAAUAAUGAUGCCAGGAGGCUCAGAGAGCUUGCAAUGUGUUUCGGGAAACCAGGCAUAUCCCCAUGAAGCAGAAGCUCACUGAACAAGGCAGCAGGAACUUUUGCCUCCAAGGAUGCAGAUGGUGAUAAAGAUUGCAGUUGUCUGAGGCUACAGGGGAUGAACUGGAACCAUAGCCUGCGCUCAGAGACAUGCGGAUCCCAGAAGGAAAAGGGUGAAAGGCGAGUUCUAACUAAUCUGAAAUUUGAUAUUCCAAGAGCUUCCUUUAAAAGGCCCUUUUAAAAUUCUUUUCCUUCCUCUUAAAAAAUUCAGUUAUCAAAUGUUGUCCACUAUCAAAUGAUGUCCUUUCCAUACAGUGAAAAAUAUACACUAAGGAAAGAAAAAGGGCAAGACUCAUGCUCUAUGAUUCCUUGUUGAACAAGGAAAAGCAUUUGGACUGUUCUCACCCCGUGAUGAGUUCCUUUUCCUCUCCUUCCUUGCUUUGGUUGAUGAUGUGAGUCUAAGCAAUUCACUGAAGCCACGUGAGAACAAGCAAAAGUCAGGGUCCAAGCAGAAUUACUAGCUUGGGGAAUGCCUGUCUCUCUGGACCUCCCUGUGAGGCCAGUGAGGAUUUCCAGACUUUCGCAGACUUUAAAAUCAGCUCUCCUGAGACUGAAUGAGGUGCAAAAGGAAACUGUCUUCUCAGGUUGGGUGGACCAUGAGGGAAAGAACGGAUGGAUAAAUCCAGGGAAGGUGCAUACUCUGUCCUCCCAAACAAUCUAAAAUGACCUUCACAUGCCCUCCAGGGUGGCCCCGGGAAACACAUCACUAGAUUCCUCCAGGCUUUACCUUGCUCUGCUUCCCAGAGCCUGUGUUACACAGGCAGAAACACCACCGUCAUAUUUCUCCCUGCCCUCAGGAACAUUCACCAGUUGGGGGGAAAAUAAGGCCAGAAAAUUGUGGCUAUGGGCUCUGUUUUGUGGAAGUUAAAAUGCUGGUGCAGGAAUCUGAUUGCUUGAUAACUCCCUCUCUCUCUCCAUCUCUCUCUCUCUCCCUUCCUCCCUCUCUCCCUCCCUCUCUCUCUCUCACCCUCCACCCUUUCUCGGCUCUCCCUCUCUCCCACCCCCACUUUUUCUACUCUCCCCUUUUCCCUCCACUGG